CAGUAGCCGCGGGAAUACAGAGGAUCCAAGCGUUAUCCGGAAUCAUUGGGUUUAAAGGGUCCGUAGGCGGUCUUGUAAGUCAGUGGUGAAAGCCCAUCGCUCAACGGUGGAACGGCCAUUGAUACUGCAGGACUUGAAUUAUUGGGAAGUAACUAGAAUAUGUAGUGUAGCGGUGAAAUGCUUAGAGAUUACAUGGAAUACCAAUUGCGAAGGCAGGUUACUACCAAUUGAUUGACGCUGAUGGACGAAAGCGUGGGUAGCGAACAGGAUUAGAUACCCGAGUAGUCCCUGUCUCUUAUAC
Molecule: ribosomal RNA, 301 nt
Filed under: uncultured bacterium
Lineage: Bacteria
Description: partial 16S ribosomal RNA
Rfam family: Bacterial small subunit ribosomal RNA
Source: RNAcentral